CUGGCUCAGGAUGAACGCUGGCGGCGUGCUUAACACAUGCAAGUCGAACGAAGCUCUUAGAACGGAGGAUUCGUCUGAAGUGAUAAGAUGACUUAGUGGCGGACGGGUGAGUAACGCGUGGGGAAUCUGCCCCGUACCGGGGGAUAACACUUAGAAAUAGGUGCUAAUACCGCAUAAGCGCACGGUGUCGCAUGACACAGUGUGAAAAACUCCGGUGGUACGGGAUGAUCCCGCGUCUGAUUAGCCAGUUGGCAGGGUAACGGCCUACCAAAGCGACGAUCAGUAGCCGGCCUGAGAGGGUGAACGGCCACAUUGGGACUGAGACACGGCCCAAACCCCUACGGGAGGCAGCAGUGGGGAAUAUUGCACAAUGGGGGAAACCCUGAUGCAAGCGACGCCGCGUGAGUGAAGAAGUAUCUCGGUAUGUAAAGCUCUAUCAGCAGGGAAGAAAAUGACGGUACCUGACUAAGAAGCCCCGGCUAACUACGUGCCAGCAGCCGC
This 501-nucleotide ribosomal RNA is filed under the name uncultured bacterium. Its description in RNAcentral is "bacterial SSU rRNA". It matches the Rfam family "Bacterial small subunit ribosomal RNA", at positions 19 to 518 of the family's 1533-position model. The record is from RNAcentral.